UGCAACUCGCCUACACGAAGUCGGAAUCGCUAGUAAUCGCGGAUCAGCAUGCCGCGGUGAAUACGUUCCCGGGCCUUGUACACACCGCCUGUCACACCAUGGGAGUUUGUAACGCCCAAAGUCGGUGGCCUAACCUUUAUGGAGGGAGCCGCCUAAGGCGGGACAGAUGACUGGGGUGAAGUCGUAACAAGGUAGC
This 196-nucleotide ribosomal RNA is filed under the name uncultured bacterium. Its description in RNAcentral is "partial 16S ribosomal RNA". It matches the Rfam family "Bacterial small subunit ribosomal RNA", at positions 1306 to 1500 of the family's 1533-position model. The record is from RNAcentral.